UGGGGAAUAUUGCACAAUGGGCGGAAGCCUGAUGCAGCGACGCCGCGUGAGGGAUGACGGCCUUCGGGUUGUAAACCUCUUUCAGUAGGGACGAAGCGUAAGUGACGGUACCUGCAGAAGAAGCACCGGCUAACUACGUGCCAGCAGCCGCGGUAAUACGUAGGGUGCGAGCGUUGUCCGGAAUUACUGGGCGUAAAGAGCUCGUAGGCGGUUUGUCACGUCGUCUGUGAAAUCCUAGGGCUUAACCCUGGACGUGCAGGCGAUAUGGGCUGACUUGAGUACUACAGGGGAGACUGGAAUUUCUGGUGUAGCGGUGGAAUGCACAGAUAUCAGGAGGAAUACCGGUGGCGAAGGCGACUUUCUGGCCAUAUACUGACGCUGAGGUACGAAAGCGUGGGUAGCAAACAGG
RNAcentral lists this ribosomal RNA (409 nucleotides) under Verrucomicrobiota bacterium. Its description in RNAcentral is "Verrucomicrobia bacterium partial 16S ribosomal RNA". It matches the Rfam family "Bacterial small subunit ribosomal RNA", at positions 355 to 776 of the family's 1533-position model. Lineage: Bacteria; Pseudomonadati; Verrucomicrobiota. The record is from RNAcentral.